This is a non-coding RNA of Homo sapiens (human), 148 nucleotides long. It matches the Rfam family "Metazoan signal recognition particle RNA". From Rfam's summary of the family: The signal recognition particle (SRP) is a universally conserved ribonucleoprotein. The record is from Rfam. Lineage: Eukaryota; Metazoa; Chordata; Mammalia; Primates; Hominidae.
GCCGGGCAUGGUGGCGCAUGCCUGUAAUCCCAGCUACUCGGGAGGCUGAGGCAGGAGAAUUACUUGAACCCGGGAGGCAGAGGUUGCAGUGAGCUGAGAGCACACCACUGCACUCCAGCCUGGGCGACAGAGCGAGACUCUGUCUCAA